Molecule: ribosomal RNA, 460 nt
Filed under: uncultured bacterium
Lineage: Bacteria
Description: partial 16S ribosomal RNA
Rfam family: Bacterial small subunit ribosomal RNA
Source: RNAcentral
CCUACGGGUGGCAGCAGUGAGGAAUAUUGGUCAAUGGGCGCAAGCCUGAACCAGCCAAGUCGCGUGAGGGAAGACGGCCCUACGGGUUGUAAACCUCUUUCGCCGGGGAGCAAGCCUGAGCACGUGUGUCCAGGCGGAGAGCACCCGGAGACAAAGCAUCGGCUAACUUCGUGCCAGCAGCCGCGGUAAUACGGAGGAUGCGAGCGUUAUCCGGAUUCAUGGGGGUUUAAGGGUGUGCAGGCGGGCUGUUAAGCCGGCGGUAAACAUUCAGGGCUCAACCCUGUCGAGCCGUCGGAACUGGCAGUCUUGAGUGGGCGAGGAGUAUGCGGAAUGCGUGGUGUAGCGGUGAAAUGCAUAGAUAUCACGCGGAACGCCGAUUGCGAAGGCGACAUGCCGGCGCCCAACUGACGCUGAGGCACGAAAGCGUGGGGAUCGAACAGGAUUAGAUACCCCUGUAGUC